Molecule: ribosomal RNA, 244 nt
Filed under: uncultured Staphylococcus sp.
Lineage: Bacteria; Bacillati; Bacillota; Bacilli; Caryophanales; Staphylococcaceae
Description: partial 16S ribosomal RNA
Rfam family: Bacterial small subunit ribosomal RNA
Source: RNAcentral
CGGCGGACUGGUGAGUAACACGUGGAUAACCUACCUAUAAGACUGGGAUAACUUCGGGAAACCGGAGCUAAUACCGGAUAAUAUAUUGAACCGCAUGGUUCAAUAGUGAAAGACGGUUUUGCUGUCACUUAUAGAUGGACCCGCGGCGUAUUAGCUAGUUGGUAAGGUAACGGCUUACCAAGGCAACGAUACGUAGCCGACCUGAGAGGGUGAUCGGCCACACUGGAACUGAGACACGGUCCAG